AUUCCAUGGUGUGGGCAUUACAAGAUGUAUUCCUAGAAACGUUCCCAUGCCUCUACAAUGGUUUCUUUUUUCUGCUGCUAAAAGGUGUAAAUUUUUCCUCUUAGGAC
RNAcentral lists this small nucleolar RNA (107 nucleotides) under Sorghum bicolor (sorghum). RNAcentral's name for it is "Plant small nucleolar RNA R71". It matches the Rfam family "Plant small nucleolar RNA R71". Rfam says of the family: R71 is a member of the C/D box family of snoRNAs containing the C (UGAUGA) and D (CUGA) box motifs. Multiple nearly identical copies of this snoRNA have been identified in Arabidopsis, and it is thought to function as a 2'-O-ribose methylation guide for 18S ribosomal RNA. Lineage: Eukaryota; Viridiplantae; Streptophyta; Magnoliopsida; Poales; Poaceae. The record is from Rfam by way of RNAcentral.